AGAUAUCUGAUGUGUACGCGAUACCUCAUAAUGCGUAAACCCUACAACUUAUUUAUAAGGGAUCCUAAUGAGGUUGAGGAUGACAAGCCUUUUCAUUUGGAAGUCAGAAUCAAUCUUUGUGGAGCCCACCUGAAAAUAUCGGGUUCUAACCUAGAGGUAAACAACCGGCACUAUCGGAUAUCUC
This 184-nucleotide non-coding RNA is filed under the name Atopostipes sp. RNAcentral describes it as "6S RNA". It matches the Rfam family "6S / SsrS RNA". Rfam says of the family: E. coli 6S RNA was the first non coding RNA to be sequenced, but its function was unknown until recently. It consists of 184 nucleotides that fold into an extended hairpin structure with a large single-stranded internal bulge. The 6S RNA specifically associates with RNA polymerase holoenzyme containing the sigma70 specificity factor. Lineage: Bacteria; Bacillati; Bacillota; Bacilli; Lactobacillales; Carnobacteriaceae. The record is from RNAcentral.